UACAGAGGGGGCAAGCGUUGUUCGGAAUUACUGGGCGUAAAGGGCGCGUAGGCGGCCUUCUAAGUCGAACGUGAAAUCCCCGGGCUCAACCCGGGAACUGCGUCCGAGACUGGGAGGCUAGAAUCCGGGAGAGGGAUGUGGAAUUCCAGGUGUAGCGGUGAAAUGCGUAGAUAUCUGGAGGAACAUCGGUGGCGAAGGCGGCAUCCUGGACCGGUAUUGACGCUGAGGCGCGAAAGCGUGGGGAGCGAACAGG
RNAcentral lists this ribosomal RNA (253 nucleotides) under uncultured bacterium. RNAcentral describes it as "partial 16S ribosomal RNA". It matches the Rfam family "Bacterial small subunit ribosomal RNA", at positions 524 to 776 of the family's 1533-position model. The record is from RNAcentral.